GUGGGGACCCUCCGACGGUCAAGUCAGAGAGGAGACUAGGCAACAGUGAAAAAUCAGGGGCUCAGCGGAGGAGAGAGAGAAAGAGCUCAAGAGCUAAGAGGCGCCUCAAAGAACUUGAGAAAGCUUGCUCCCAAAAACUUACCAAGACUGUUGCCUUAUCCCUUUUUAUAGUAGAAUGCGGUAUGGUCCCGUCAUUAAUGGUGCAGACAACUGGAGAGUUGUCAAAUCGUCGGAGGUUGUCAAGUCACUGGGAUUAAUCUAUGUCAUUGGCA
This 272-nucleotide long non-coding RNA is filed under the name Elaeis guineensis (African oil palm). RNAcentral's name for it is "long non-coding RNA (EGUI_LNC032721)". The record is from RNAcentral. Lineage: Eukaryota; Viridiplantae; Streptophyta; Magnoliopsida; Arecales; Arecaceae.